RNAcentral lists this ribosomal RNA (2741 nucleotides) under Segnochrobactrum spirostomi. RNAcentral's name for it is "Rhizobiales bacterium Sp-1 23S ribosomal RNA". It matches the Rfam family "Bacterial large subunit ribosomal RNA". The record is from RNAcentral. Lineage: Bacteria; Pseudomonadati; Pseudomonadota; Alphaproteobacteria; Hyphomicrobiales; Segnochrobactraceae.
GAGUGAUCAAGUGCCUUAAGAGCAUUCGGUGGAUGCCUUGGCGUCGAGAGGCGAUGAAGGACGUGGUACGCUGCGAUAAGUCAUGGGGAGCUGCGAACAAGCUUUGAUCCGUGAAUUUCCGAAUGGGGAAACCCAAUCCGCAAGGAUUAUCCUAGCAAUAGGAAGCGAACCCGGGGAAGUGAAACAUCUCAGUACCCGGAGGAAAGGACAUCAACAGAGACUCCGCUAGUAGUGGCGAGCGAACGCGGACCAGGCCAGUGGUCUAUUUUAAUGAACCGGAAUCCUCUGGAAAGGGGAGCAUUAUGGGUGACAGCCCCGUACGGGUAGAGUUGGAAUGGAUCCUUGAGUAAGGCGGGACACGUGAAAUCCUGUCUGAACAUGGGGGGACCACCCUCCAAGCCUAAGUACUCCUCGACGACCGAUAGCGAACUAGUACCGUGAGGGAAAGGUGAAAAGCACCCCGACAAGGGGAGUGAAAUAGUACCUGAAACCGGAUGCUUACAAACAGUCGGAGCCUGAAAUGGUGACGGCGUACCUUUUGUAUAAUGGGUCAGCGACUUAAUUUAACGAGCAAGCUUAAGCCGGUAGGUGUAGGCGCAGCGAAAGCGAGUCCGAAUAGGGCGACUUAGUUCGUUGGAUUAGACCCGAAACCGGGUGAUCUAGCCAUGAGCAGGCUGAAGGCAAGGUAACACUUGCUGGAGGGCCGAACCGGUGAAUGUUGCAAAAUUCUCGGAUGACUUGUGGCUAGGGGUGAAAGGCCAACCAAACUCGGUAAUAGCUGGUUCUCCGCGAAAUCUAUUUAGGUAGAGCGUCAGACCUAUACUCUCGGGGGUAGAGCACUGGAUGGGCUAGGGGUCCCCACAGGAUUACCAAACCUAACCAAACUCCGAAUACCGAGAAGUACUAUCUGGCAGACACACGGCGGGUGCUAACGUCCGUCGUGAAAAGGGAAACAACCCUGAUCGCCAGCUAAGGCCCCUAAGUCGUGGCUAAGUGGGAAAGGAUGUGAGAAUCCCAAAACAACCAGGAUGUUGGCUUAGAAGCAGCCAUCAUUUAAAGAAAGCGUAACAGCUCACUGGUCUAAAUAAGGGUUCUUGCGCCGAAAAUGUAACGGGGCUCAAGCCACGCGCCGAAGCUGCGGGUGCAUCGCAAGAUGCGCGGUAGCGGAGCGUUCCGUAAGCCUGUGAAGCGGGAUCCGUGAGGACCCGUGGAGGUAUCGGAAGUGAGAAUGCUGACAUGAGUAACGGAAAGGCGUGUGAGAGACACGCCCGCCGAAAGUCCAAGGGUUCCUGCGUAAAGCUAAUCUGCGCAGGGUCAGCCGGCCCCUAAGCCGAGGCCGAAAGGCGUAGGCGAUGGGAAUGAGGUGAAUAUUCCUCAGCCUGUGGAUGGUGACGAACGCCUUAAGUUGUUCAAGCUUACUGGAUUGCUUGGGCAGCGACGGAGUUCCAGGAAAUAGCCUCCACGUUAUAGACCGUACCCGAAACCGACACUGGUGGACUGGUAGAGAAUACCAAGGCGCUUGAGAGAACGAUGCUGAAGGAACUCGGCAAUUUACCUCCGUAACUUCGGGAUAAGGAGGCCUCCUCGGUGGGCAACCAUUGGGGAGGGGCACAGACCAGGGGGUGGCGACUGUUUAGCAAAAACACAGGGCUCUGCGAAGUCGAAAGACGACGUAUAGGGUCUGACGCCUGCCCGGUGCCGGAAGGUUAAGAGGAGGGGUGCAAGCUCUGAAUCGAAGCCCCGGUAAACGGCGGCCGUAACUAUAACGGUCCUAAGGUAGCGAAAUUCCUUGUCGGGUAAGUUCCGACCUGCACGAAUGGCGUAACGACUUCCCCGCUGUCUCCAGCAUCGACUCAGUGAAAUUGAAUUCCCCGUGAAGAUGCGGGGUUCCUGCGGUUAGACGGAAAGACCCCGUGAACCUUUACUAUAGCUUUGCACUGGCAUUCGUGUCGUCAUGUGUAGGAUAGGUGGUAGGCUUUGAAGCCGGGGCGCCAGCCUUGGUGGAGCCACCCUUGAAAUACCACCCUUGAAGAUAUGGAUGUCUAACUGCGGCGCGUCAUCCGCGCCCAGGACAGUGCAUGGUGGGUAGUUUGACUGGGGCGGUCGCCUCCCAAAGCGUAACGGAGGCGCGCGAAGGUGGGCUCAGAGCGGUCGGAAAUCGCUCGUUGAGUGCAAUGGCAUAAGCCUGCCUGACUGCGAGACUGACAAGUCGAGCAGAGACGAAAGUCGGCCAUAGUGAUCCGGUGGUCCCACGUGGACGGGCCAUCGCUCAACGGAUAAAAGGUACUCCGGGGAUAACAGGCUGAUGAUGCCCAAGAGUCCAUAUCGACGGCAUCGUUUGGCACCUCGAUGUCGACUCAUCACAUCCUGGGGCUGGAGCAGGUCCCAAGGGUUCGGCUGUUCGCCGAUUAAAGUGGUACGUGAGUUGGGUUCAGAACGUCGUGAGACAGUUUGGUCCCUAUCUGCCGUGGGUGUAGGAGAUUUGAGAGGAUCUGUCCUUAGUACGAGAGGACCGGGAUGGACGUACCUCUGGUGUACCUGUUGUCGCGCCAGCGGCACAGCAGGGUAGCUAUGUACGGUCGGGAUAACCGCUGAAGGCAUCUAAGCGGGAAACCCACCUCAAAACGAGAUCUCCCUCGAGAGCCGUGGAAGACGACCACGUUGAUAGGCCGGACAUGUACGCCUGGUGACAGGCUCAGUGGACCGGUACUAAUAGCUCGAUCGGCUUGAUCGCUCUCAUU